UCCUAGAGUGCCCGAGCCGGUUCUUCCUGUGUACCCGAGCCAGUUGCACAAGUUCCCCGAGGCGAAGUCUUCAUCAUCGCCCGAAGCAAAGACUUAGUAAAUAUUCUUCUUUAAAGGUAUCAUUUCCAAGCACAUUAUCAUUUCCGAAAAAGAAGGAUCAUUUCCGAUAAACUCGGAAAUGAUAAGGAAGAAUCGCGAAGGAUCAACUCAAAUC
This 214-nucleotide long non-coding RNA is filed under the name Arabidopsis lyrata. RNAcentral's name for it is "long non-coding RNA (ALYR_LNC002495)". Lineage: Eukaryota; Viridiplantae; Streptophyta; Magnoliopsida; Brassicales; Brassicaceae. The record is from RNAcentral.